UACGGAGGGGGCAAGCGUUGUUCGGAAUUACUGGGCUUAAAGGGUUCGUAGGCGGCCAACUAAGUCAGACGUGAAAUCCCUCGGCUUAACCGGGGAACUGCGUCUGAUACUGGAUGGCUUGAGUUUGGGAGAGGGAUGCGGAAUUCCAGGUGUAGCGGUGAAAUGCGUAGAUAUCUGGAGGAAUACCGGCGGCGAAGGCGGCAUCCUGGACCGGCAUUGACGCUGAUGAGCGAAAGCUAGGGGAGCAAACGGG
This 253-nucleotide ribosomal RNA is filed under the name uncultured bacterium. RNAcentral's name for it is "partial 16S ribosomal RNA". It matches the Rfam family "Bacterial small subunit ribosomal RNA", at positions 524 to 776 of the family's 1533-position model. The record is from RNAcentral.